Pelobates cultripes (western spadefoot toad) is the source of this 204-nucleotide non-coding RNA. Lineage: Eukaryota; Metazoa; Chordata; Amphibia; Anura; Pelobatidae. The record is from the annotation of a GenBank genome assembly.
CCUCACGAACAGAGACGGGUCAGUGCACCUAUUCUCCUGGAACUAUUUUCAGCUACCGCCUCGUGUCUGGCCGGUCAAAUCUUCCACACAAUGCCAUUCCCGUUCUACUGAACCGAUCUUAGUGAUUCCUGCAUAUGUUGGUCACUCAGAUCGGGGCUAUCAGGGAAUGUACAUUUUUUGCGGGUUCUUAUGCAUGGUUGGGGG